AAACUUGUUUGGGGAAGAUCUAGUGGCGAACGGGUGCAUAACACGUGAGAAACCUGCCUCAGUCUCUGGGAUAACAGUUGGAAACGACUGCUAAUACCGGAUGCCGUCACACCAUCACAUGUUGGAGUGACGAAAGAUUUAUCGGAUUGAGAGGGUCUCGCGGCCUAUCAGCUAGUUGGAGAGGUAACGGCUCACCAAGGCAUCGACGGGUAGCUGGUCUGAGAGGAUGAUCAGCCACACUGGGACUGAGACACGGCCCAGACUCCUACGGGAGGCAGCAGUGGGGAAUCUUGCACAAUGGGCGAAAGCCUGAUGCAGCAACGCCGCGUGCGGGAAGAAGGCCCUAGGGUUGUAAACCGCUUUCAGUAGGGAAGAAAAUGACGGUACCUACAGAAGAAGGUGCGGCCAACUACGUGCCAGCAGCCGCGGUGACACGUAGGCACCAAGCGUUAUCCGGAUUUAUUGGGCGUAAAGAGCUCGUAGGCGGUUCGGUAAGUCGGGUGUGAAAACUCUGGGCUCAACCCAGAGAGGCCACCCGAUACUGCUGUGACUAGAGUGCGGUAGGG
Molecule: ribosomal RNA, 566 nt
Filed under: uncultured bacterium
Lineage: Bacteria
Description: bacterial SSU rRNA
Rfam family: Bacterial small subunit ribosomal RNA
Source: RNAcentral